Molecule: long non-coding RNA, 320 nt
Filed under: Sorghum bicolor (sorghum)
Lineage: Eukaryota; Viridiplantae; Streptophyta; Magnoliopsida; Poales; Poaceae
Description: long non-coding RNA (SBIC_LNC011207)
Source: RNAcentral
GGGGUCGAUAGGCGGGAUCGUGUCGGCCUGCUUCGUGUACUCGACGGCGAGGUGCUUGAUCUGGUCGCGAGUUCCAGCACGGGAAAUUUCACGGAACUCGCGGGAACAAUGAGACUGCGCCGGGGGAUGCGCGGCGAGUACGCGCGUGCAGAAGUCCGCGCGCGGAUCAAGUCAAUGGCAACUCCAGAUUUUUGGCAAACAUGUUUAGCAAACUGUUGGAGAGAGUUUUUUCAUUGAUUUGCCAAAAUUUGUAGGAUAGCAAGUGUUUUAGCAAACUAUUGGAGAUGCUCUUUCUCAUUUAUAAACAUAUUAAUAAAAAG